CUUCAAGAUGGAACAAAUAGUAGUGUAGCAAGCUUUGUGUCUUUACUUGUACGUUGUGCAGUUUCUAAAUGCUUCACAGUGCUAAUGAAGCUUCAGGUUUUCCUAUACUUGCAAUUAAUUUCGUGUAGUUUCUCUUCCCAGUCUCAUCCUCGUUCAAUAUAUUGCUUUACUUUUCCCUUUAUGACUGGGGGUGGUAGCAACUGUCUCCAAAUAGAGAAGGCAUUGAUUAAUAUUGCUUAUAUGAUUAUAAGCGGCUUUUUGUUACAUUGGAUUUAAACAUUUCUGUUAGGAUGAAAAGUUUCUAAUCUAUGUUUAUUAUAUUGCUUUGGGAAAUGAAGGAAGAGGGAAAGAAAGGAGCCGCCUGUAAAUUCCAGCUGUCUUAAUGUUAUGCUUUAUAUAAGCUUUUACUCUGUUAUUAAAGGUUGAAAAAGAUUACUCCUAAUUACAAUUUCUAGAUGUCAUUGAGGUCAAAUAGUCAAAGUCAACAUUUUUAUUAUUUUUUUUAAUCAUGCAUUUGGUUUUUGGCACGAAGUGUAAAGGAAAGUCCUUAAAAGGCCAAGUGUGGUAGGUUUAAGGGGAAGUGCUGCGCAGAAUUUAUAUCAUCCACUUCAACAGUUGCAAAAAAUAUAGAGUAAGUAGUGAGUUUCUAAGGUUCAGGCUAAUCCUUUUGGGAGAAAGGGUGGGUGCAGAUGAGGUUUGUUAAGAUACUGCAUUAUUCUACAUCUGGUGGAGCAUAAUAUGCUGUGUGCACUUGUAGGGACUACUUUGGCUUCUUGUGUUGGUAUUUUUGAAGAUGAAUAUGGCUACAGAUGCUAAGAUUUAUUUGAUUAUUUUGUCUUUACAUGCUGUCCAAGCACUUUCUGACUUAUAUGUUUUGUUGAUCAUAAUAUGUUGUCUUGAGGGUCUGAACUCUGAUGCAUGUAAUUCAUUCUUACAAAUAUUCUGUAUAUCUAAACUGAUGGAGUUAUUUACAUAAAAAUAAGGUCAUAAAUUUCAGCUGCUGCGGCUACACAAAUAGGCUCUCUUUGUUUAGUGGUAUAGAAUAGUUGUUUUGCAGUACUCUUUUUCCAUGUGUAGGAAUAUAUAUUCUACAAAUUUGCAGAAGAUAACUAUUCCAUUCUUAAGAUUUGAAUCAAAGUUGAGAUUGUGGAGUUAUUAUUCUUCAUUCAAAAUUUAAACCAAACUGAGAAUAAUAACUUUCUGAAUGGAAUUCCUUGAACCAAAACAAUGUUGUAAUGUGUUGUCUCAAUUCUUGAUGGGCCAAAUUUUCUCAGGCAAAUCUCCAAUCUCUUCCGCCAAACAGCCCGCGUCUCUUCUUCCAGACGCAGGCAUUACGUCCAUCUCCCCUUGGCCUCCUACACUCCUGAAUCUUCUCUGUAUGUCCUCUUAUUGUAUAUGCAAUGCUUGUUCUUUGGUGUUUUAAUCAAAUUUGAGACAA
Molecule: unclassified non-coding RNA, 1438 nt
Filed under: Hevea brasiliensis (rubber tree)
Lineage: Eukaryota; Viridiplantae; Streptophyta; Magnoliopsida; Malpighiales; Euphorbiaceae
Source: RNAcentral